GAUGAACGCUGGCGGCGUGCUUAACACAUGCAAGUCGAACGGGAAACCUUUUAUUGAAGCUUCGGCAGAUUUAGCUGGUUUCUAGUGGCGGACGGGUGAGUAACGCGUGGGUAACCUGCCUUAUACAGGGGGAUAACAGUCAGAAAUGGCUGCUAAUACCGCAUAAGCGCACAGAGCUGCAUGGCUCAGUGUGAAAAACUCCGGUGGUAUAAGAUGGACCCGCGUUGGAUUAGCUGGUUGGUGGGGUAACGGCCCACCAAGGCGACGAUCCAUAGCCGGCCUGAGAGGGUGAACGGCCACAUUGGGACUGAGACACGGCCCAGACUCCUACGGGAGGCAGCAGUGGGGAAUAUUGCACAAUGGGGGAAACCCUGAUGCAGCGACGCCGCGUGAAGGAAGAAGUAUCUCGGGAUGUAAACUUCUAUCAGCAGGGAAGAUAAUGACGGUACCUGACGAAGAAGCCCCGGCUAACUACGUG
RNAcentral lists this ribosomal RNA (478 nucleotides) under uncultured bacterium. RNAcentral's name for it is "partial 16S ribosomal RNA". It matches the Rfam family "Bacterial small subunit ribosomal RNA", at positions 28 to 507 of the family's 1533-position model. The record is from RNAcentral.